AAUCAACGCCGGCGGCGUGCCUCAGACAUGCAAGUCGAACGAUUAAAGCCCUCUUCGGAGGGUGCAUAAAGUGGCGCACGGGUGAGUAACACGUAAGUAAUCUACCUUCGAGUGGGGAAUAACGUUCGGAAACGAACGCUAAUACCGCAUAAUGCAGCGGCAUCUAUGAUGACAGUUGUUAAAGAUUUAUCGCUUGAAGAGGAGCUUGGGGCAGAUUAGCUAGUUGGUAAGGUAACGGCUUACCAAGGCGACGAUCUGUAUCCGGUCUAAGAGAAGGGUCGGACACACUUACAGUGAAUAACGGGUCAGACUCCUACGGGAGGCAGCAAUCGGGAAUGUUGGGCAAUGGGCGAAAGCCUGACCCAGCAACGCCGCGUGAAGGAUGAAGUUUUUCGGAAUGUAAACUUCGUAAGAAAAGGAAGAAUAAAUGACGGUACUAUUUGUAAGGUCCGGCUAACUACGUGCCAGCCGCCGCCGUAA
Molecule: ribosomal RNA, 480 nt
Filed under: uncultured bacterium
Lineage: Bacteria
Description: partial 16S ribosomal RNA
Rfam family: Bacterial small subunit ribosomal RNA
Source: RNAcentral